ACACAAAAACUGCAACCCUUUUUUCUCAGCGUGUUUUGAUUUAAGUUUACAGUUAGAUGAUAACAGAGACGUGUUCAUUCCAUUUAUAAAUUACUUCAAUGCAAUAAAAUUUUCUUAGAACAUUUUUGGAAAAAAGUUCAAAAAGUAAAACGCCUAACACUAGGUUGACACUGGAGGCAGGAGUGGUGCGAAGAGGAGUCCGCGCAGUGUCCGCUCUCUCCUGUAAUUCUCAUGAGACACGCAUUGUUACGCGACGGUUGUAAGAUGCUUCUGCUAGGGCUUUUUUUUUUUUUCGCCAUCAUGGCUUUUGCAGGUGUGGCGUUCAGGGUUUGUUCCUGCCUGGAAGGAUGGGGUUUUGAAGAGUUGCACAACCCCCUCACCUCCCCCUGAAAUAUCUCAGAUAAAGGCUGCUCUACAUUAGGGAUGUUGCCAACGGCUGCAUGUCUAACAAGGCAUCGGCUCCACAACCAAGAAACCUGAUUAAAGAAGAGAGAGGAGUGAAACUAUGCUGCUGUAAAUGAGAUGAUUCCCCUGUGAUGCACACAAAACAACGCUCCUGAAGUUUCUGCCUAAUUCCGCCUCGUAAAAAGCAAAGUAAAACACAGCAGCUGA
Molecule: long non-coding RNA, 612 nt
Organism: Oryzias melastigma (Indian medaka)
Lineage: Eukaryota; Metazoa; Chordata; Actinopteri; Beloniformes; Adrianichthyidae
Exons: 2
Source: RefSeq, a predicted model, not a curated record